UUAUCCCAAGGAUGGUGGACAGAGAGGCUCUAAGCUACCCUCUAAUGCUCAGGCUUCUUCUGCCUUCAAGGAAAAGCCAGUCGUGAGACUUAAGGGAAGAAAAGAAGGAUGCGGCUGCCCCAGAGCCCUGCAGAGCAAGCAGCGGGUGUGAUGCGCAGUGAGCUCGGAGGAUGGGCAUGGCAGGUCAUCGUGGGACAAUGUGGCUUCUUCCCAUUGUCCUCCUUUUCCUUCAGAUGAGGCAGACAGUCAUACCAAGUGAUGCGAGGUCAACUUGAGAGCAGUUCUGAAGAACUGAAGAGGGAGGAAUCGUUGAUUCCCUGAAAGUGACCUGUUUCCCUGCAAACCAUUUUCCUCCACUUCCAGUUCCCACAUAAGGCUCAGAAACCAUGAACUAGAUGGCAGAAAGUCACAGGAAUCACAGCAAACCCAGAUGCCUAUUCUGAAAAUGAGGAAUCCACUGAGGCCUUGAGCAGACAGUUGGAGGUCACCAGGGAGGCUGGCACUCACCCAGCAUGUCCCCGUGGCAGGCAAGGAGCCUGGACUGGCGGCUGUUUUCUCCUCAUCGUGCUCAUCCAGCCCUGGGCCCA
Motacilla alba alba is the source of this 587-nucleotide long non-coding RNA. RefSeq lists it as uncharacterized. The transcript is spliced from 5 exons. The record is from RefSeq and is a predicted model, not a curated record. NCBI's taxonomy places the organism in Eukaryota, Metazoa, Chordata, Aves, Passeriformes, Motacillidae.